GCCGGUGUGUCGGAAUGGCAGACGAGGCAGACUCAAAAUCUGUUGUAUGCGAGUACGUGUGGGUUCGAGUCCCACCACCGGCA
RNAcentral lists this transfer RNA (83 nucleotides) under Clostridia bacterium. RNAcentral describes it as "tRNA-Leu". It matches the Rfam family "tRNA". Rfam says of the family: Transfer RNA (tRNA) molecules are approximately 80 nucleotides in length. Lineage: Bacteria; Bacillati; Bacillota; Clostridia. The record is from RNAcentral.